Homo sapiens (human) is the source of this 1262-nucleotide long non-coding RNA. Ensembl annotates it as long intergenic non-protein coding RNA 1333. The record is from Ensembl. Lineage: Eukaryota; Metazoa; Chordata; Mammalia; Primates; Hominidae.
AGCCACCUCAGUUCUCUUUUACUGCCCUAUCCUUUCGCCGGGUUUCUCCUUUCAACCUUGAGAGAUAACUGACAUGGGCUUAGGAUACUCAGUCAUUCUGGAAUUCUGUAUCAGCACUGAAACAUGAGUGGGGAAAUUCUAAGAAAUUUACUUCUCUUUUUCUUUUCAUAUUUUCCUCAUUCCAAAGUGGAACUAAAUCGAGGUUCCCUAGCAACCCAGGGCUCUGUGAAGAUUCAUUAUUCUAUAAAAUCCCACCACCUUACAAACACAAAAUGUUACAAGUUGCCCAGUCACCCCGGCUUCUGAGAUGAAGAAUAUUAUUGAAGUCAAAUCUGGUGGCUAUCACACUCCAUGGAACUUGGGGCAACAUUUAGGUACCUCUACCCAGGAAAGAAUCUCUGAGAAAUAGGUGGCAGUUUCUCUAGCAGCAUAAGAAGAACCUUGAUAAGCAUCAUCCUUAAGUCCUGACAGCAGUGGAUGACUAGUCAGGAACCUGUCCAGAUAAUGAUUGAUACACCUCCCAUGCCCCACCUCUCACCCAGGACAGGAUCGAAGUGUUGGGGGAGCCACAACCUGCUUCACCUAGAAAGAGGACAUUGACAUGGAUCUGCCAGCUUUCUAAGACUUUCCCCAGAUUCAAGUCCAGUCACAUCAAGUUGCCUUAUUAAAGGGUCUGCCCACUCAAAAGGAGAAAGUGCAAAAGAUGCUCAGCAAGGAAUAUCCAGCACAAUAAGCAUUGAAGAAACAAAUGGCAACGCAAGCUUAAAGAAUUCCAAGCCAUUAUGAACUGACUCUUCAAAUAAGUGCUUAUUUUCACAUAACCAGGGAGUUUCUGGAUUAACUUCCAUAUAAGACAUAUUUAUUAAAAGAUUUGCACCCCUAUUGCUGGCACUGGGUGGACCUCCCCAAACGCUCUGCCCUUGGUGCUCUUCUGCCGGUUAUUCUCGUCCAUGACCCCAGAGCCAGGGAGAAUCUCACCAGUGCAGCCCAGGGCACUUCUGAUAACAUCUGAGCAGAGUGAAGGAGAAGAAACGCACGAGGCAGGCAUCUCAUUUAUGGAAGUGCUCCUCUGGGUCAAGCCCUCUGCCAAUAAUUUUCAUGCAUAAUGGCCCUUUCAUUCUCCCCAAAAAUUCUUCAAGGGAGGGUGAUAAUCCCAGGAUAUGGAAACAAGGAAAAGCAGACUACAAGAAGUUAAGUGACCUCCCCAAUGACCCGCUGCUCAUAAAUGGUAGUAUCAGAAUUAAAACCCAGAUGAGGCUGCC